This 424-nucleotide ribosomal RNA is filed under the name Verrucomicrobiota bacterium. Its description in RNAcentral is "Verrucomicrobia bacterium partial 16S ribosomal RNA". It matches the Rfam family "Bacterial small subunit ribosomal RNA", at positions 355 to 776 of the family's 1533-position model. The record is from RNAcentral. Lineage: Bacteria; Pseudomonadati; Verrucomicrobiota.
UGAGGAAUAUUGGUCAAUGGACGAGAGUCUGAACCAGCCAAGUAGCGUGCAGGAUGACGGCCCUAUGGGUUGUAAACUGCUUUUAUAUGGGGAUAAAGUGGGGAACGUGUUCCCUUUUGCAGGUACCAUAUGAAUAAGGACCGGCUAAUUCCGUGCCAGCAGCCGCGGUAAUACGGAAGGUUCGGGCGUUAUCCGGAUUUAUUGGGUUUAAAGGGAGCGUAGGCCGUUUGGUAAGCGUGUUGUGAAAUGUAGGAGCUCAACUUCUAGAUUGCAGCGCGAACUGUCAGACUUGAGUGCGCACAACGUAGGCGGAAUACAUGGUGUAGCGGUGAAAUGCUUAGAUAUCAUGAAGAACUCCGAUUGCGAAGGCAGCUUACGGGAGCGCAACUGACGCUGAAGCUCGAAGGUGCGGGUAUCGAACAGG